RNAcentral lists this ribosomal RNA (440 nucleotides) under Salmonella enterica subsp. enterica serovar Anatum. Its description in RNAcentral is "bacterial SSU rRNA". It matches the Rfam family "Bacterial small subunit ribosomal RNA", at positions 338 to 795 of the family's 1533-position model. Lineage: Bacteria; Pseudomonadati; Pseudomonadota; Gammaproteobacteria; Enterobacterales; Enterobacteriaceae. The record is from RNAcentral.
CCUACGGGUGGCAGCAGUGGGGAAUAUUGGACAAUGGGCGCAAGCCUGAUCCAGCCAUGCCGCGUGAGUGAUGAAGGCCUUAGGGUUGUAAAGCUCUUUUACCGGGGAAGAUAAUGACGGUACCCGGAGAAUAAGCCCCGGCUAACUUCGUGCCAGCAGCCGCGGUAAUACGAAGGGGGCUAGCGUUGUUCGGAAUUACUGGGCGUAAAGCGCACGUAGGCGGCUUUCUAAGUCAGGGGUGAAAUCCUGGAGCUCAACUCCAGAACUGCCUUUGAUACUGGAAAGCUUGAGUUUGGGAGAGGUGAGUGGAAUUCCGAGUGUAGAGGUGAAAUUCGUAGAUAUUCGGAAGAACACCAGUGGCGAAGGCGGCUCACUGGCUCGAUACUGACGCUGAGGUGCGAAAGCGUGGGGAGCAAACAGGAUUAGAUACCCUUGUAGUC